Molecule: ribosomal RNA, 442 nt
Filed under: uncultured bacterium
Lineage: Bacteria
Description: bacterial SSU rRNA
Rfam family: Bacterial small subunit ribosomal RNA
Source: RNAcentral
AGAGUUUGAUCCUGGCUCAGGACGUACGCUGGCGGCGUGCCUAAUACAUGCAAGUCGAGCGGACCUCAUAGGAAGCUUGCUUUUUAUGAGGUUAGCGGCGGACGGGUGAGUAACACGUGGGUAACCUGCCCUAUAGACCGGGAUAACCCGCGGAAACGCGUGCUAAUACCGGAUAACACAGCGGAGCGCAUGCUCCGGUGUUGAAAGGUGGUUCUGCUACCGCUAUAGGAUGGGCCCGCGGCGCAUUAGCUGGUUGGUGGGGUAACGGCCUACCAAGGCGACGAUGCGUAGCCGACCUGAGAGGGUGAUCGGCCACACUGGGACUGAGACACGGCCCAGACUCCUACGGGAGGCAGCAGUAGGGAAUCUUCCACAAUGGGCGAAAGCCUGAUGGAGCAACGCCGCGUGAGCGAAGAAGGUCUUCGGAUCGUAAAGCUCUGUU